Molecule: ribosomal RNA, 454 nt
Filed under: Dilopharius otomitus
Lineage: Eukaryota; Metazoa; Arthropoda; Insecta; Hymenoptera; Ichneumonidae
Description: partial 28S ribosomal RNA
Source: RNAcentral
CCUGAGAAACCCGAAAGAUCGAAUGGGGAGAUUCAUCGUCAGCGAUUUUGGUACGUGUGCGGUUCGCGAUGUCAGAGACUUCGGUCUCGUGGCACGCGUCCGCAUGUUUUUUAUUGCUGGAAUCGUCGGCGUGCACUUCUCCCCUAGUAGGACGUCGCGACCCGUUGGGUGUCGGUCUACGGCACGGUAGGUAGCCUGUCACGUGUGCGCUUCACGGCGUUAUGCGGGGCAGACCUCCGUUCGCCCGACCGGCUGCUCGGCGGUACUCGCAAGGUAUCUGGCCGCAGACAUACGAACUGCGUCCGGCCCGUCGCAAGCGCGGCAAGUGUUUCCCGGCUGUACGGAUCUAAUGCCGUCACCGGGCCUUGCCAGCUGUUGGUUGACGGUGUCCUAGGACUGGCUAACAAAAUUAUGAUACCGGUCGGCGACGCUACUGCUUUGGGUACUUUCAGGA